Molecule: ribosomal RNA, 465 nt
Filed under: Vreelandella stevensii
Lineage: Bacteria; Pseudomonadati; Pseudomonadota; Gammaproteobacteria; Oceanospirillales; Halomonadaceae
Description: partial 16S ribosomal RNA
Rfam family: Bacterial small subunit ribosomal RNA
Source: RNAcentral
CCUACGGGGGGCAGCAGUGGGGAAUAUUGGUCAAUGGGCGAAAGCCUGAUCCAGCCAUGCCGCGUGUGUGAAGAAGGCCUUCGGGUUGUAAAGCACUUUCAGUGGGGAAGAAAGCCUUGGGGCUAAUACCCUCGAGGAAGGACAUCACCCACAGAAGAAGCACCGGCUAACUCCGUGCCAGCAGCCGCGGUAAUACGGAGGGUGCGAGCGUUAAUCGGAAUUACUGGGCGUAAAGCGCGCGUAGGCGGUCUGAUAAGCCGGUUGUGAAAGCCCCGGGCUCAACCUGGGAACGGCAUCCGGAACUGUCAGGCUAGAGUGCAGGAGAGGAAGGUAGAAUUCCCGGUGUAGCGGUGAAAUGCGUAGAGAUCGGGAGGAAUACCAGUGGCGAAGGCGGCCUUCUGGACUGACACUGACGCUGAGGUGCGAAAGCGUGGGUAGCAAACAGGAUUAGAUACCCCUGUAGUC